ACUUCUUAAACACGGUGUGACUACAGCGGCAUCCAGGGUAGCAUCUCUUGCGUGGAGUUAAGCGAGGUAUGUCCUCCACCUCGUUGAUCUUUGGUAAUCCACCACGACUUCUUCACUCAUCAAUCUCAUCCAGGGCUUCCUCAUAGUGUUGCCUUACUUCUGCCAAUUCUAGUUGACUGUCUUCCAACUUCUGAUGCAUGACUUGGAUAGUCACAGCCAUCUCCUUUAGUUGUUCAUUCUGCUCCAAAUAAGGGUCAGCCAUCACACAUUGCAAGGUGCCUGGUGGGCGACGAGGAAGAUACUUUUGUUUGCCAUUCUUCCUCUCUUCGUAGUGCUUUCCAUGAUAUGCCAAAAGAGCUUGAUGGGCAGCAUC
RNAcentral lists this long non-coding RNA (373 nucleotides) under Sorghum bicolor (sorghum). RNAcentral's name for it is "long non-coding RNA (SBIC_LNC005363)". Lineage: Eukaryota; Viridiplantae; Streptophyta; Magnoliopsida; Poales; Poaceae. The record is from RNAcentral.